RNAcentral lists this long non-coding RNA (277 nucleotides) under Arachis ipaensis. RNAcentral's name for it is "long non-coding RNA (AIPA_LNC001473)". The record is from RNAcentral. Lineage: Eukaryota; Viridiplantae; Streptophyta; Magnoliopsida; Fabales; Fabaceae.
GAGACUGAGAAGAGUUCUCUGAUUAAAGGUUUCCCUUUUGUUGUGUGAAUCACUUGGUCACUUUCUUUGAUCUUGGUACCAUGCUGACUCUUAAGCACGUUACUACGUGGUAUGCAACUCUUGUUGUCGUGCUUUGUUGGGCUUCGAUGAUCUGAUGAGUCAGGCAAGUUUUGUCUUGGAUUGGCAAACGAUCUUGUUCUAGAAAAUUGAAGAACCCUUUCUGCUUCAGGGGAGGAUGGUUCCCUAGAAUGGGGUAUGAACGAGGUUGGUAUUGGUG